AUUGAACGCUGGCGGCAUGCCUUACACAUGCAAGUCGAACGGCAGCGGACCUUCGGGUGCCGGCGAGUGGCGAACGGGUGAGUAAUAUAUCGGAACGUACCUUUCAGUGGGGGAUAACGUAGCGAAAGUUACGCUAAUACCGCAUAUUCUGUGAGCAGGAAAGCAGGGAAUCGCAAGACCUUGCGCUGAUUGAGCGGCCGAUAUCAGAUUAGCUAGUUGGUGAGGUAAGGCUCACCAAGGCGACGAUCUGUAGCGGGUCUGAGAGGAUGAUCCGCCACACUGGAACUGAGACACGGUCCAGACUCCUACGGGAGGCAGCAGUGGGGAAUUUUGGACAAUGGGCGCAAGCCUGAUCCAGCCAUGCCGCGUGAGUGAGAAGG
Molecule: ribosomal RNA, 380 nt
Filed under: uncultured bacterium
Lineage: Bacteria
Description: bacterial SSU rRNA
Rfam family: Bacterial small subunit ribosomal RNA
Source: RNAcentral